CAGAGUACUUUUUUUUUGCUUUUUUUUUUUUUUUUUUUUUUCCUUUAAGGCCGAAUCCACAGCGUAUGGAAGUUCCCAGGCCAGGGAUUGGAUCUGAGCCACACCUGUGACCUGCACAGCUGAGAUAGUGCCAGAUAGGACAGCUUUAUAUGCCACAUGGGAUGGAAGAUGAGACCCUGAGACAUGGGAGAACAUGGGAUGGUGGUGGAGGGGAAUGAGAGAUGCCUAAACUGUUCUGCUUUAGAAAAAAAUAAGAACAGAGGGAGAGAGCUGAAAUUAAAGAAGAGUGGAAAGAAAGGACAGCAUGAGAUUAAGUAAAGGGCAAGAGGCUGGUUGGUUGAAGCAGAGACCUCCAGUUACCUCCCAAAACCUGUUCUCCCUUUCUUGCACAGUAUCAGAGUUCCAGCUGGGCACAUGACUGCACUGUUGGAGACUACACUUCCCAGGCUCCACCAAGCGCCAGUAUGAUCACAUGACUACAAUCCUGCCAAUGAGAUGAGAAUGGAAGUGAUGUGUGCACCUACUUGCUUAAUAGUCGGCCCUCCUCUUUCCCCUUCCAAGGGGCUGAUUGUCCAUGUGGUUUGCCCUGGCUUCGACGAUAUGGAUGAGGGCACAGUCACUCCCAGGAGAUGGCAAAGCAACAAGACAGAAGUAACGGUGAUUGGAAGAACUUGCAACCACAGUAGGAAGCAGAGCAACCACUUAGCCUGGACUGGAAGAGAGAGAUAAAACCAAAUCAUUUUUGUGGUGGGGAGUCAGGAGAGGGGGGAUGUGGCAGGAAGAGGAUCUCACUGUGUCAGCAUUUAGCGUAAAUCUUAGCUAACACUAUGGCAAAAUUACUCAAAAAUUACUCAAAAAUUGAGAUAACUUAUUAUUCCAUUUUUUAAUUUGCCAUUUUCUGUGCUACAUAUCCUCCAUUUUUUUGUGUGUGUGUUUUUGGCCACAUCAGUGGCAUGUGGAAAUUCCUGGGCCAGGGAUCAAAUCAGCACCACAGCAACAACCCGAGCCACUGCAGUGACACCACCAGAUCCUUAACCUGCUGCACCACAAGGGACCAUUGGCACUCUCCAUCUUUUGACCUUUGCAAAAUGUGCUACAAACAUAAUGGCCUGUGGGAGGAAGGGGCUUGGUAGAAAUCAAGGAGUGUGUCCGGCUCCCACAGCUGGGCUGAGAGAGCAAGACUUGGAAGAGCACACAUGCGGGAAGGUCCAGAGAUGCAAAGAAUUCCGCAGGACAGGAGCUCUGAGCCAUACUGCCAUGACAAUGCAUGCUCGGCUGGACUCAUGACAUCUCAGGGAGGGUCCCAAGACAGGAUAUGGAGUAGAGAGAUGAUCCAGUUCCAUCUAGACUCUAGGGGUCAGGGUAACUCCUACCAACACCUGGACCAAAACAGUGAUUAAUCCAAGAGGGCAGGAAUAUGCAAGGAUUAAGAAUACAGAUUCUUGGGAGUUCCCAUUGUGACUCAGCAGUGAUGAACCCCACUAGUAUCCAUGAAGAUGUGAGUUCAAUCCCUGGCAUCAAUGAGUGGGUUAAGGAUCCAACAUUGCCAUGAGGUAUAGGUUGCAGACUCAGCUUGGAUCCAGCAUUGCUAUGGCUGUGGCAUAAGCAGGCAGCUGCGACUCCAGUUCAACUCCUAGCCUGGGAGCUUCCAUAUGCCAUGGGUGUGGCCCUAAAAAGAAGGAGUAAAGAUUCUAGAGUCAGAGUGGAUGAGUUCUACUUUCUGCUCUACCACCUAUAACCAUGUGACUUCAGGGAAGUAACUUAAAACCUUAGCCUCAGUUUCCGUCUUUGUAAAUUGGACAUAGCAAUAAUAUCCACCUCCAAGUGUUAUCAUGGAGAAUUGAAAGGAAUAAUGUACAUAAAAUAGUCAGCAGGGCACAUGAGAUAUGAUGAGUGAUCAAUAAGGAUUAGCUUUUAUUGAUAAUAAUAUUAUUUCUUUGUGAUGGUAAUAUGACACCCUAGCUUUUAUUCAGGGCUUAGAGAAAAAUCAGUAACGUGGAAAGUUGCAGGCUCAGUUGUUUCCACAACGACCUGAGUUCAGUGGCAGGAGCAUCACUCCCGCAUGUGAGGUGUCCCGAGUACCAGCAGCUCCAUUGCUCGGCUGGGAAAACAAAGAGGUUGAGAAAUGCGCCUGAGGUAACAAGUAAGUGACAGAACUGAGAUGAAAGCUGGGAUCUCAAAUCAUCAUUCGGGUCCCAAGGCACUUUUAGCAAAGCCAGGCUGAACUAAGAACACUCUUACCUGCAGUUUCAGGUGCCUGGGACCUGCCCCCACCUGGCUCCUCCUUCCCACCGCGUUGCCCUCUCAGAAAGCCACCCGCUGUCACUCAGGCACUCAGGCAGGAAAGCCACAGUCACUCUGUACUUCCUGUUUUCCUUCACCCCCUGCUUCUAAUCAGCGCUCAAGGGGUGUCUGUGUCAUCUCUGAAACUGCUCUCACGUCCAUCCACUUGCCUCGACCUCCACCCCCAGCCUAUUUCAAACCACCUCUUCAUGGGCAUCUACUCUUGCUUUCCUUUCCUUUCCUCUUGGCAGCCAUAGGGAGUUUUCAAAACCCAAAUAUCAUGAUUUCCUGAUCUGCCUAGGACCUCCUAUCAGCUUCCCACUGCCCCAAGAGGAAGUUCAACCAGCCUCCCUUGUUAGUGCCAGCCUAAACCACCCCCCUCCCCCCGGCUCUCGAAGCUCAAACCACACCAGACAGUUUUUCUGUUUCUAGAACAGAGGACAGAGCCCCCAGCCUUUGAAUGCUAUUUCCUCUGCUUAGGACACUGUUUCCUCCUCUGCCUCCCUUUAUCUGACUCAUUCACUCAAAAAUAUUUUGUAUCAAACUCUCACUAUAUUGGCAAACAUUGUUUUAGACCACAGAAAAACACAUAACUUUUCUGUGCCAUAACCUUUGUUAGAAAUCUGGUAAAACCUAUGGACCACUUUCUCAGACUAAUGCCCCCUUUUUUUUUUUUUGAUGAUGAUGAUGAAUUUUAUAUAAACCUCACUUUAUUAUUUACUUAUCUCACUUGAAUCUCACCACUAUGGUUACAUAAGGUAGCUAUUGCACCUCCUACUUUUCACCCAACAUAUUACCAUUGGGGUUGAAAAGAUUACAGUGAACCCUGAUAUGGUAGGUAGAGUAAUGGCCCCCCAAAGAUAUUCAUGCUCUAACCCCUAGAACCUAUGACUAUGCUAUAUUAUUAAAAAAAAAAAAAAAAAA
This 3207-nucleotide long non-coding RNA is filed under the name Sus scrofa (pig). Its description in RNAcentral is "lncRNA (ENSSSCG00025065681.1)". The record is from RNAcentral. Lineage: Eukaryota; Metazoa; Chordata; Mammalia; Artiodactyla; Suidae.